CUGACAGCCCCAGAGAAUGAAGUCCUCUAGUUAUCUACAGAAAAGAUACAAAACGAGCUCUGGCCAGCAGCGGUGGGCCUCAGUGAGCCUGACAUGGAGAGACUACCUGCCUCUCUUAGAAGUAGUCAUUCUCCAAGUGUCCUCAGUUGUUAUCCUGU
Molecule: small RNA, 158 nt
Filed under: Sphenodon punctatus (tuatara)
Lineage: Eukaryota; Metazoa; Chordata; Lepidosauria; Sphenodontia; Sphenodontidae
Description: TUC338 (ENSSPUG00000015375.1)
Source: RNAcentral